Molecule: ribosomal RNA, 449 nt
Filed under: uncultured bacterium
Lineage: Bacteria
Description: bacterial SSU rRNA
Rfam family: Bacterial small subunit ribosomal RNA
Source: RNAcentral
ACUCCUACGGGAGGCAGCAGUGGGGAAGUCUUAGACAAUGGGCGCAAGCCUGAUCUAGCCAUGCCGCGUGAGUGAUGAAGGCCGUUAGGGUCGUAAAGCUCUUUCGCCAGGGAUGAUAAUGACAGUACCUGGUAAAGAAACCCCGGCUAACUCCGUGCCAGCAGCCGCGGUAAUACGGAGGGGUUAGCGUUGUUCGGAAUUACUGGGCGUAAAGCGCGCGUAGGCGGAUUAGUCAGUUAGAGGUGAAAUCCCAGGGCUCAACCCUGGAACUGCCUUUAAUACUGCUAGUCUUGAGUUCGAGAGAGGUGAGUGGAAUUCCGAGUGUAGAGGUGAAAUUCGUAGAUAUUCGGAGGAACACCAGUGGCGAAGGCGGCUCACUGGCUCGAUACUGACGCUGAGGUGCGAAAGUGUGGGGAGCAAACAGGAUUAGAUACCCUGGUAGCGACUGA